GCCAGGCAUGGCGGUGCAUGCCUGUGAUCCCAGUGACUCAGAAGGCUGAGGUAGGAGGAUUGCAAGUAUAAGGCUGGCCUCAGCAACUUAGUGAUGCCUUUAGCAACUUGGCAAGACCCUGUCUAAA
RNAcentral lists this small RNA (127 nucleotides) under Marmota monax (woodchuck). Lineage: Eukaryota; Metazoa; Chordata; Mammalia; Rodentia; Sciuridae. The record is from RNAcentral.